UACAGAGGUCUCGAGCGUUAGGCGGAAUCACUGGGCUUAAAGCGUGUUUAGGCGGAUCGGUAAGUACCUUGUGAAAUCCCACAGCUUAACUGUGGAACUGCUUGGUAUACUGCCAGUCUUGAGCCAGCUAGGGGCUACCGGAAUAAAUGGUGGAGCGGUGAAAUGCGUAGAUAUCAUUUGGAACGCCAAUGGUGAAAACAGGUAGCUGGGGCUGUGCUGACGCUGAGACACGAAAGCCAGGGGAGCAAACGGG
Molecule: ribosomal RNA, 253 nt
Filed under: uncultured bacterium
Lineage: Bacteria
Description: partial 16S ribosomal RNA
Rfam family: Bacterial small subunit ribosomal RNA
Source: RNAcentral